Molecule: ribosomal RNA, 1535 nt
Filed under: Cryptotermes cylindroceps parabasalian symbiont ERJ-2013
Lineage: Eukaryota; Parabasalia
Description: SSU rRNA
Rfam family: Eukaryotic small subunit ribosomal RNA
Source: RNAcentral
AAGGAAGCACACUUCGGUCAUAGAUUAAGCCAUGCAAGUGUCAGUUCAGGUUCAGUCUCGAAACUGCGAACAGCUCAUUAACACACUUAGUAUCUAUUUGACGGCGCUCCCAAGAGCUCACAUGGAUAGCAGGAGAAAACUCGUGCUAAUACAUGCAAUUGUUUCGCUGGAUACGAAUUACAGCGUAAAAGUUGACUUCGCAAGAAGCACGUCAUUCGACUGAGUGACCUAUCAGCCAGUACUUAGGGUCUUUACCUAGGUAAGCUAUCACGGGUAACGGGCGGUUACCGUCGUACUGCCGGAGAAGGCGCCUGAGAGAUAGCGACUAUUCCUAUGGGGAGCAGCAGGCGCGGAACUUUCCCAAUCUUCAACGAAGGAGGGGGUGAUGACCAGUUCUAGUUUUGGCCUAGGCCAUAUUGGAUAGGGGCGCAGUUUACCACUGUACCGUAACCGAGCAGAGGGCCAGUCUGGUGCCAGCAGCUGCGGUAAUUCCAGCUCUGCGAGUUUGCUCCCAUAUUGUUGCAGUUAAAACGCCCGUAGUCUGAAUUUGGCUCCAGCCAGUAUGUGCACAACGUUCACUGUGAACAAAUCAGGACGCUUAGGGUAUGUUUAAGGAAUGACCUAGCGCAGUAUGAUUACUUUGCCACUUGGCAAGCUCAAUGAGAGCCAUCGGGGGUAGAUCUAUUCCGUGGCGAGCGGUGGAAUGCUUUGACCCACGUGGAGAGAGUCGAAAGCGAAGGCAUCUACCUAGAGGGUUUCUGUCGAUCAAGGGCGAGAGUAGGAGUAUCCAACCGGAUUAGAGACCCGGGUAGUUCCUACUGUAAACGAUGCCGACAGGGGAUUGUCUCUUUAUAGAGGCAGCACCUUAGGAGAAAUCAUAGUUCAUGGGCUCUGGGGGAACUACGACCGCAAGGCUGAAACUUGAAGGAAUUGACGGAAGGGCACACCAGGGGUGGAGCCUGUGGCUUAAUUUGAAUCAACACGGGGAAACUUACCAGGACCAGAUGUUGGUAUGACUGACUUUCUAAAGGGAAUUCAGGAUUUGGCUUGUGGUGGUGCAUGGCCGUUGGUGGUGCGUGGGUUGACCUGUCUAGCGUUGAUUCAGAUAACGAGCGAGAUUAUCGCCAAUUACUUAGUUUGCAGUUGCUUAACUGCGAACUUCUAAUUGGGACUCCCUGUGUCUAACAGGCGGAAGAGGGUAGCAAUAACAGGUCCGUGAUGUCCUUUAGAUGCUCUGGGCUGCACGCGUGCUACAAUGUGAGCAUCAAACAGAUUCAAAGUCGAAAGACUGUGGUACUCUGUCAAACGCUCACGUGGUUGGGAUUGACGGUUGUAAUCACUGUCAUGAACCAGGAAUCCCUUGUAAAUGUGUGUCAACAGCGCACGUUGAAUACGUCCCUGCCCUUUGUACACACCGCCCGUCGCUCCUACCGAUUGGAUGACUCGGUGAAAUCGCCGGACAUUUGCGAAGGCAAUUAAACCACGUUAUCUAGAGGAAGGAGAAGUCGUAACAAGGAAGGGCGAAUUCCACAGUG